CAAGUCUCCUGAAGGAACGUUGAAGACGACGACGUUGAUAGGCCGGGUGUGUAAGCGCAGCGAUGCGUUGAGCUAACCGGUACUAAUGAACCGUGAGGCUUAACCUUACAACGCCGAAGGUGUUU
RNAcentral lists this ribosomal RNA (125 nucleotides) under Salmonella enterica. RNAcentral's name for it is "partial 23S ribosomal RNA". The stretch from base 1 to 107 matches the Rfam family "Bacterial large subunit ribosomal RNA", at positions 2820 to 2925 of the family's 2925-position model. Lineage: Bacteria; Pseudomonadati; Pseudomonadota; Gammaproteobacteria; Enterobacterales; Enterobacteriaceae. The record is from RNAcentral.